Molecule: long non-coding RNA, 265 nt
Filed under: Olea europaea (common olive)
Lineage: Eukaryota; Viridiplantae; Streptophyta; Magnoliopsida; Lamiales; Oleaceae
Description: long non-coding RNA (OEUR_LNC013538)
Source: RNAcentral
GAUUCAACAAGUGCUGAUAGUGGCAUUCUUCUAUGGCUUUGGUUUGUACAUAUGACAAUCACUGAAUAAUACUUUAGAUCACAUUUAUAGUUUCUUAGUAAAUAAAUGUUUGAGAUUCUUGUCUCCAAAAUUUGGUUGAAUUCACAGGUCAUUUUGGAAUAGGCCCCAUAUGUGUUUCCGUCUUGACCUAGCAAUCUUUGUCUCCGACUCGCCUUUCUCUAGUAUGUAAUUUAAUAUUUGGAUCCUGGCUUUAUUCCAUUUCCCC